Molecule: long non-coding RNA, 1243 nt
Filed under: Sus scrofa (pig)
Lineage: Eukaryota; Metazoa; Chordata; Mammalia; Artiodactyla; Suidae
Description: lncRNA (ENSSSCG00040046118.1)
Source: RNAcentral
GGCAUGUACACAAGAGACUUGGUACAAAUGUGCCAACCUUCUUUUCCCUGAUCAUGAUAGCUUCUACCGUUACCACAGGGACAUUUGUGCGGCUUGUUCUCCAUCAUGGAGUCCAGGGAGAAGUGCAGCUGAGACCUGCUGAGAAGCGUGGUGAUGCUGGGAACUUCAGGAGCAACCAGGCCUGGCUUGCCAGCCAGCCUGUCCCAGCUCUGCGUCUCUCCAGCUUCCUUCCUAAAUCACCACCACCACCUGCCCUAGGAGUGGAGCCCUUGGGUUGGAGCCAGCUGAUUGGAUGUGAGCUCUAAGGUGAGCGUUUUGCUCAAGAACUGUAGCUGCUAGAAGGUAUAUAACAUCUCAUUCAGAUGCCAGGAAAAGAAGAAGUGGGGUGGAGAUGUUUGUGCAUCUAACGGGUGGGUGGCGGGAAUGACAAUGACAUAAAUCUCCUAAUUCCAUAAGGACGUGGGACUCUCUGCUGACUGGGUCUUAGAACACUGGUAAAUUGUUCCACAGCAGUAGAAAGGGAUGCGGGGUUUUUAGGACACAUCCUAAGGAGAUCCCAUUCUUGUCGGUAUUCCACGUGCAUGCACAGACAACAGCUAAAAGGAAAUGAUGAUACAUGUUGGGGGUGAGGGAGCCAGUCGCUUUUAAUUUAUUCCUUAUACUUCCUGGAUUAUGUGAGAAAAAUUUAAAUAGCACAUAUUAAUUUAAUAAUCAGAUGGGGAAAAAUAGAGAUCUUAGAAGCUGAGAAAGAAAAUCAUUAAGGGUCUAUCCUACAUACCUCUAAGGACUGUGGUCAAUUGAAAUGAUGUAGCUGAAACAAAAGAGUUUUUGAAAGUUGUGCGGUGUCUUAAGAAAACAGUGUGGUAUAUUUUUCUAUNGCAUAUGGAGGUUCCCAGGCUUAGGGUCGAAUCGGAGCUGUGGUGGCCGGCCUAUGCCAGAGCCACCACAACACAGCAUCCGAGCUGCGUCUGCGACCUACACCACAGCCCACGGCAACGCUGGAUCCUUAACCCACUGGGCGAGGCCAGGGAUCGAACCCACAACCUCAUGGUUCCUAGUCGGAUUUGCUAACCACUAUGCCACAACAGGAACUCCAUAUCCUACAUGCCUCUAAGGACUGUGGUCGAUUGAAAUGAUGUAGCUGAUACAAAAGUGUUUUUGAAAGUUGUGCAAUGUUUUAAAGAUACAAUGUGGUGUAUUUUUCUUUUUUCGGGUUUACUUAAAUUUUAUUUAUUUAUUUAUU